CAGUCGAGAAUUUUUCUCAAUGGGGGCAACCCUGAAGGAGCGACGCCGCGUGGAGGAUGAAGGUCUUCGGAUUGUAAACUCCUGUCAUUUGGGAACAAAUACCUGAUUUAACUGAUUAGGAACUGAUAGUACCAGAAGAGGAAGAGACGGCUAACUCUGUGCCAGCAGCCGCGGUAAUACAGAGGUCUCAACCGUUGUUCGGAUUCAUUGGGCGUAAAGGGUGCGUAGGCGGUCGCGCAAGUCGGAUGUGAAAUCUUAGGGCUCAACCCUGAAACUGCAUUCGAUACUGCGUGGCUAGAGUACUGGAGAGGAGACUGGAAUUUACGGUGUAGCAGUGAAAUGCGUAGAUAUCGUAAGGAAGACCAGUGGCGAAGGCGAGUCUCUGGACAGUUACUGACGCUGAGGCACGAAGGCCAGGGGAGCAAACGGGAUUAGA
This 436-nucleotide ribosomal RNA is filed under the name uncultured bacterium. RNAcentral's name for it is "bacterial SSU rRNA". It matches the Rfam family "Bacterial small subunit ribosomal RNA", at positions 352 to 782 of the family's 1533-position model. The record is from RNAcentral.